UACGUAGGUCCCGAGCGUUGUCCGGAUUUAUUGGGCGUAAAGCGAGCGCAGGUGGUUUAUUAAGUCUGGCGUAAAAGGCAGUGGCUCAACCAUUGUAUGCAUUGGAAACUGGUAGACUUGAGUGCAGGAGAGGAGAGUGGAAUUCCAUGUGUAGCGGUGAAAUGCGUAGAUAUAUGGAGGAACACCGGUGGCGAAAGCGGCUCUCUGGCUUGUAAUUGACACUGAGGCUCGAAAGCGUGGGGAGCAAACAGG
RNAcentral lists this ribosomal RNA (252 nucleotides) under uncultured bacterium. RNAcentral describes it as "partial 16S ribosomal RNA". It matches the Rfam family "Bacterial small subunit ribosomal RNA", at positions 524 to 776 of the family's 1533-position model. The record is from RNAcentral.